RNAcentral lists this ribosomal RNA (272 nucleotides) under uncultured prokaryote. RNAcentral describes it as "partial 16S ribosomal RNA". It matches the Rfam family "Bacterial small subunit ribosomal RNA", at positions 505 to 776 of the family's 1533-position model. The record is from RNAcentral.
GUGCCAGCAGCCGCGGUAAUACGUAGGGGGCAAGCGUUGUCCGGAAUUAUUGGGCGUAAAGGGCGCGCAGGCGGUUUCCUAAGUCUGAUGUGAAGGGCCACGGCUCAACCGUGGAAUGGCAUUGGAAACUGGGGAACUUAAGUACAGGAGAGGAGAGCGGAAUUCCACGUGUAGCGGUGAAAUGCGUAGAGAUGUGGAGGAACACCAGUGGCGAAGGCGGCUCUCUGGCCUGUAACUGACGCUGAGGCGCGAAAGCGUGGGGAGCGAACAGG